Molecule: long non-coding RNA, 1493 nt
Organism: Lycium ferocissimum
Lineage: Eukaryota; Viridiplantae; Streptophyta; Magnoliopsida; Solanales; Solanaceae
Exons: 3
Source: RefSeq, a predicted model, not a curated record
CAAAAAUACCCACACUACAAAUUUUUCGAAGAGGCACCAAAGAGACUUCUGGGUAGAUGCCUUAUCCUACAAAUGCACAUACGAUGCGCUGCGCUGCCAGCUUGAAGAGACAUGUCGCUACAAAAGUUCUUCCUCAAGAAUUGCACCGUUGACUCUGUACAUUUAUGAUCUGAUGAUCAAUUGGAUGUCGAGACCAUGUAUAGAAGGAAAAUACUAUCUUCACAUAAUCAGGUGUCUUUGUUCCGAUUGAUUGCAUCAUGAGGUAGGGAAUGAGAAAUAUUUCAAAUUGGAGACUCGCACUUUAUUUAGUAUCUAUCAACCGUGUGAUGCCUAAAGAUGUGAGAGGCUUCCUCAAUUGCUGGCAGGUACAGAAAAUUGAAAGAAGAAAGAGGUAAAGUCACUUAUCAAGUUACAAUACCUUUGCUGUAAAAUGUAGAUGCAUAUAAAACGUUACACUCUUGAAUCUUGAUGUAGGAGCAAUACAUUGGAAAUGCAUAAUUUCUUUUGGAUUUUUUUGCUGGGAUCAUGUUCUAAUCUUUUGUACUUUUGUAAUACCUUCUUGGUCCUAUAAUUACUAAAAUAAAUAAAACUUAUAUAUGAGCAAGUUUGAAAUUAGUUUACUUAUUCAUUAAUGAUCAGAAACAUUUAUUAAAUGAUAGAAUUAAAUGUAUUUAAUACAAUUAAAUAAUGUAAUGCUUAAUUGAAAAUUUUAAGGAUGAUCCUUAAAUUGUGAACUUAUGGGGCGAACCAGCAUAGAAAGAUGGUAAAUGCUAUAAAAAUUGAUCAACAAAAGACCUGUUAUAGCGCUAUGAUUUUAGAGAUACAACACACAAAGAUAGUAUAUCAAAAACAUUUACUAUAUUUAUAAAAAAGUUAUCUUUUAAAUUAUACUUUACCUUUUGUGAAGCUUUCGAGGGGAAUAUCGUAAUAUUUGCUAUAAUUGUUAGUAAUAUUGAUAAAUUCAAUGUUUAGAAAAACAACAACUUCCAAAAUAAUAAUAUACAACUUGCAAGAGAUGCAACAACAAAGUGAACUUUUUAACUUUUUUUUUUUUGGGGUCCAAAGGUCAUAUAUUAUACUCUAAACUAAAGUGGUACAGGGGGCCCCAUCUAUUACAAGGUCGUGUUGCCUAUUGCUAUGGGAGGAUUGACUCAAAGUGGAGUCAUUACAAAAGGAGUGUAGCAUGGGGACUGCUAUGUCACAAAAAGGGGUAGCAACGGCCACUGUGAUGUUAUUUGUAGUUGCGAUGUUAUGAUGUAUAUAGAGUCAAUAUCUCAAAGGAUUAUAUUAUCUUUUCAUUUAAUUGUUACGAAAUAUAUCAAGUAAGGCAGUUGUAUGGUUUCAGUAAAUUAUACAUUCAAAAUAACAUACUAUGUCUUUUGGUAAAGAAAGAAGAACUCAAAAUUAUCACAGACAGGCAUUGAGUAAGGAAAAAUCUUUCACAUUUCUUGUCAAAAUUGACAUAAAAAUGGAGGAGAUCAACUUGGAAGAUG